RNAcentral lists this long non-coding RNA (3038 nucleotides) under Homo sapiens (human). Its description in RNAcentral is "HSALNT0358426". The record is from RNAcentral. Lineage: Eukaryota; Metazoa; Chordata; Mammalia; Primates; Hominidae.
UUUCUCGUGGUGUCUUGUGGGAGUGGCGGUGCGAUCCCUCUCAGACUUGUGAGUCCCUGCUGGAGUCAGAAGUUUUAGGCGAAUCCCAGGCGCGCCAAGGAAAGUGCUACAAAAGCCAUCCAUCUUGCAAGCGUUGGUGCCGAGGCGCAACGCUGAGAACGCAAAUACUAAAGGGCGCUGUUCUUUCCUCGUGGAGCUCACAGUCCGCUGGGGAGACCGUGAGAUGACAGCAGAGAAACUAGCGCGAUCAGUAGUACUCAGCGCAAGGACAGCGAGCAGAGAAGGCAAACCUAGUGCUUGCUAAGGAAGACUUCACAGAGGAGGUAGUGUCAGGGCCGAGACUAGGAGAAGGAUUCAGACAGCCCUGAUUGCUAUUCCAAUGUCAUCACAAACCCCCAGGAUGCUUGGAAGGCCAAGGAAUCAAGGUCAGCUGUAUCCACAGCCCUAGUCUCAAGCCUUCAUCCUCUUACCCGAUAGCAGGCGAUUCCCAGUCCUAGCCAGAUAGAUGAGCCCCAGUCUCAGGAAGAUGAAGUGCAUCUCAGAAGCAUCCACUACAAAGCUAAUGGUUCGUUCAUAGCAUGCCUUGGCCUCAGAAUGAUUUCCACUCAGAAAAUAGAGAUGGCCCUUCAGGCCCCAGACAUUGGGGUUCUGGGAAAGUGAAAAGCAAGUAGUAUAUGGGAUAAGGUAGUAUUUAAAAGUACCUUGAUGAUCUUUGUUUAACAUUUAAAUUUAGAUAGAUUGUCCAUUUCCUUUCUCUUUUCUUUUUCAGAUCAACCGUUUUCUUUUUCUAAGAGCACUCAGAAACAUAACCAUUUAAUUGUACAAGGAGACAUUUUUCUAGCUCUGCCCUCAGAUUUCUUUCUUGCAUUCUUCAAAGCCAUUUUGGGUGUGGAGUAAAUAUUAAGAAAAACAUUCAAGCAUAACCCCAAUACUGUUCACAUGAGAAAAUAUAAGAAAUCUAGAAAAAUUGAAAUAAACACUAUCAGCUAAAGAUAUCCUUUUCUCUGCUCUUUGCAAAACUCAUGAUUACUUUAUUAUUAUUAUUUUUUGAGAUGGAGUCUUGCACUGUCGCCCAGGCUGGAGAGUGCAAUGGCUCAAUCUCCGCUCACUGCAACCUCCGCCUCCCAGGUUCAGGCGAGUCUCCUGCCUCACCCUCCUGAGUAGCUGGGAUUACAGGCACCUGCCACCACGCCCAUCUAAUUUUUUGUAUUUUUAGUAGAGAUGGGGUUUCACUAUGUUGGCCAGGCUGGUCUUGAACUCCUGACCUCGUGAUCUGCCUGCCUCGGCCUCCCAAAGUGCUGCGAUUACAGUUGUGAGCCACCGCGCCCAGCCAACUCAUGAUUACUUAAGAAAAGCAAAUGGAAGGGUAUAGAGAGAUGAGUUUACUGACAGCUGAUGACCACCCUUCUGUUCACCAGAAAUCUACGUGUGAUAUGGCAUCACCACCUUUAAAUAAAGCCCCUUCUCCAGACUCAAGAGGCUUUAGCAAAAGUCAUUACCAGGUAGUCCAUCUGGGCUGCUUGUUGAAGGUAUUCCUCUGCCUUGGCAAAGUUCUUCUUAAGAAUGUGUGUUUGGGCCAGCACCAAGUAAUAUUCACAGCUGGGGCCUCCUUGAGGGCAUAACAGCUCAUGUGCAAGCACUCUGUGCACAUACUGCAAGGAUAAUCAGAUUAUAAGCAACAUAUAAAUGGCUGCAUUGCGUCUUUUUCGGUUGAAGGAUUCUGUCUCUGAUAAUAAAUAAUACGAAAUGUAUUACAGAAUGAAAUAAUUAUCCUCAACUUCAAAAGGUAAAGGGUGAAUUACAAACAUUCUGCACUUCAUAGUUCCAUUACCAGCUAUUCACCUAGUCACCAAAUGAAGACAUUACCAAGUGAAUAACUUGCAAUAUUGUACAAUUCUGGUCUUGCUGGUCAUCAUACUAGGUGAGUGUUAGACUGCAUGUAUUAUGCAGCAGACAAAGGCACAUCAUCAACCACCCCAUUUACAAAGGAGGUAACAUUUUCAGGCAGCUGACAUUGUAAGGAAACUUAAGUGAGGUAAAACUGCCUUUCUAACAAUCUAGACUUGAAAUCUUAGAAACAUAAAUGUCUGUUUUGGAUCCACCUCCAAACAUUGGUUAUGUUUACCAGUUUUGUAGUUUGGGUCAAUUUUUGUAUUUUGUUUUUUUUUUUUUCUUUUUUUAGAGACAGGGUCUUACUCUGUCACCCAGGGCUGCUUACUGCAGCCUUCUGGCCUCAAGCAAUCCUCCUGCCUUGGCUUCCCAAAAGUGCUGGAAUUAUAGGGGUGAGCCCCAUGCCUGGCCAAAUCUUUGCUUUUUACACUUUAUAAGACCUACAAAAUUAACAAAGUUAGAUAUACUUCUUAAGUCGAGGGUAAAUCCUUCUUUUCAUCUCCCACUGUUCCCAUCUCAGCCUAUAAUGUAGAAAAUUCUACAUUAUACUUACACCUUUUUAGGAGAAUACUAGAGGGAACAGCUGCAGCUAUUUUUUCCACCUGCCUUCUGGGUCUCUGACCUGGGGGAGCUAAUGACUUAUUUAGCUGUGGAAGAAGAGAGUCUGUUUCUAUUUUGCGGAGGGUUAAUGUGUUAAAGCCUCCUGCUUAAUGUGGCUCAAUCCCACCCAGUUAAUAAUUCUUGCCCUUUCUUGAGCUUGCCUGCCCUUGAGUAGGGCAUGCACUUGGCAGGAUCAAAACCAAACACUCCUGGCUCCUGAGUCUUGAUCUCUCCUACUGCUUGCUCAUGAAUAUGCUUCUUUCUUCCCAUGUAAUAGGCAGACUUCCUAGAAUGCUCUUCUUCUCUGAGAGGAGGCUUCAAUUCUUCAGCUGCUCUACCUGUGACUGCAUGGGUAAGUCAAAUGUGGGGCUAGUUAUGUUGUCCAGCCAAGUUUUACCAAUAAAAAUAAGCUAAUAUUUUUAUUCCCCCACAUAGUACUGUGUAUGUUUCUAGUUGGAUCUAACCUAGAAGGGAAGAAGGGAAUGAUUUGGCUCCUGUGAACCCCCAACACUCACAAAAUGAAUUCCCAUAAUAAAGUGAUAUCAGGC